Molecule: non-coding RNA, 29 nt
Filed under: Mus musculus (house mouse)
Lineage: Eukaryota; Metazoa; Chordata; Mammalia; Rodentia; Muridae
Source: RNAcentral
UUCUCAGAACUAGUGUAUAUUUGGCCAAA